CGGAUGCGAGCGAGCGCGAGGCUAUGUGGAUCGUUUUAAUACCAAAACCCCGAGCCUGCCGUAGAGUAACUGAAGCUGGCUUUUCAGGCUUUUCACUGAAACACUAAAGGUUCACCUUCGGUUGUCCGUUGACAUAUUCCCCUAAACAGCGGAUGAAAUUGAAAAGGUCGUUUAUCAAGCAUAUGCUAUGCUGCCUGAGUCAAUUUGUAUCUACAUUAUGCAGCCUCAUGCGCGGAAAUGAACUCAUCUGAAUUACUCGUUUUCUUUGCCAGCAGCAGAUAGACUGACCUAUCAUACGCUUUUAGCCCUGAUCUCGACGUGACAUGCUGUGCUCCGAGCGUGCUUCUUUUCCGAACGUACUACUCGUCUACCCCCAGCAAUGCCCAAGGCAGGCUCUGUCUCCAGCCAACCACGCAUCGAGAAAAUGCUCCGCUCGCAUAUACGUUUCAACCAGAACACAUGCAUCACAAUAUGAGCAUGCUUACUUGUGAGCCAGUGCCCAUGUUGUUGUUGUUGUUGUUGUUGUUGUUGUUACAUGGUCGUGGGUGCGUUCCCCGUACCUGCAAACCACCCUAGUACGAGCCGAGGGCUCAAGGGCUGCCAAAUCGCC
This 610-nucleotide long non-coding RNA is filed under the name Volvox carteri. Its description in RNAcentral is "long non-coding RNA (VCAR_LNC001998)". Lineage: Eukaryota; Viridiplantae; Chlorophyta; Chlorophyceae; Chlamydomonadales; Volvocaceae. The record is from RNAcentral.